CUUCCAGUAGCACCUUAGAGACCAACUAAGUUUGUUAUUGGUAUGAGCUUUCGUGUGCAUGCACACCUCUUCAGAUACACUUCGCAUGCACACGAAAGCUCAUACCAAUAACAAACUUAGUUGGUCUCUAAGGUGCUACUGGAAG
Podarcis lilfordi (Lilford's wall lizard) is the source of this 145-nucleotide non-coding RNA. Lineage: Eukaryota; Metazoa; Chordata; Lepidosauria; Squamata; Lacertidae. The record is from the annotation of a GenBank genome assembly.